This 449-nucleotide ribosomal RNA is filed under the name uncultured bacterium. Its description in RNAcentral is "partial 16S ribosomal RNA". It matches the Rfam family "Bacterial small subunit ribosomal RNA", at positions 330 to 795 of the family's 1533-position model. The record is from RNAcentral.
GCCAGACUCCUACGGGAGGCAGCAGUGGGGGAUAUUGCACAAUGGGGGGAACCCUGAUGCAGCGACGCCGCGUGGGUGAAGGAGCGUUUCGGCGCGUAAAGCCCUAUCGGCAGGGAAGAAGGAGGACGGUACCUGACUAAGAAGCCCCGGCUAACUACGUGCCAGCAGCCGCGGUAAUACGUAGGGGGCAAGCGUUAUCCGGAUUUACUGGGUGUAAAGGGGGCGCAGACGGCAGCGCAAGCCAGGAGUGAAAGCCCGGGGCCCAACCCCGGGACUGCUCUUGGAACUGCGCGGCUGGAGUGCAGGAGGGGCAGGCGGAAUUCCUGGUGUAGCGGUGAAAUGCGUAGAUAUCAGGAGGAACACCGGUGGCGAAGGCGGCCUGCUGGACUGCGACUGACGUUGAGGCCCGAAAGCGUGGGGAGCAAACAGGAUUAGAUACCCUCGUAUUU